UUUCAUUGGCUAUCUGCCUAAGGGUCAAAAUCUCGCCUUGGGUCUCUGCUACGUGAUACGCAUUUGGGUGUCUGGACAGAAGUGGAUGCCAGACUUGUCCAUGCAGAAAACUGCCUCCAAUUAAUAUCUGCCUGUUUGACGGUACAGUUCGGUCUGUUCCACGCAGGAGCCCGGCAUGUGCCAUGUAAGUGGGAUGGGGAAGUGUCGGCUGCUACUGGCAUUUCAUUCCAGGUCAUCAGAUGGGUUCUAUUUUCAGGGCCCAUCUAUCACCCCAUCUUGCAGUGUGGAGCCUCGAGUUCUCCAAAUGUCCAGAUCGCAGCUGUCACUGAGGGCAGUUGCAUCUGUUACACAGUAAAGGAGUCCUAGAGAAGUGCUGCCAAGGGGAACUCAUAAAAAAGCCGCUGCUGGAGACUCAGAUGUGCCCUGCUGAGCGAGGCAGUCUCCUCCUACUUACCGUGCUGCAGUGAGCCGCAGUCACCCGCGGGGGAGUUGAAGAAUAAGUUGAAUAUGGUUGAACACGGUGGCAUCAUACUGCUCAGCCAUCUCUGGGGUUAACUGCAGAUGAGAUAAUUCCUGUAUAACUCCUGGAUCCUCUAGGGCAUUCUGCCACUGUAUCCACACUUCAUGGUACAAGGGCGAAUGGACAGAUCUCCAGCUUCCAAGUGAAACGUGAAGGCGACUCGACAAGGAUUUCUGUUAGGACAAUAGUUUUGCUUCAUGAAGACCAGGAAGGCUUGAACUCAGGACAAUGGGUAUCUUGAAUUUACUCAGUUCCCAUCUCUUAAGUUAUUAAACAUUAUUUCCCACCUGUCUUGUGUAUUUUUGCUUGAUCCCUAUAAUAUGGGGGCAGAACCAAGACUCUUUUAUUUGGAAUUAAUGAGGGAUUCCAAAAAUAGUGUUAGCAGUGCUUAACAAAUUUGAAAGAGCAAAGGAACUGAAGCCAGAGAAGACUGAGAUAGGGGAGCUGUUUCAUUGUAUCAAUUUCUAUUCACUUUGUUAAUAAUUGAUGCCACAUUUACUCAUUGUUAUAUAUUAAAAAUACUUGAUUUGCUACAAGGUAAAAAUGACCCAUUGACUUUGUCUCUCA
Molecule: long non-coding RNA, 1087 nt
Filed under: Homo sapiens (human)
Lineage: Eukaryota; Metazoa; Chordata; Mammalia; Primates; Hominidae
Description: HSALNT0223973
Source: RNAcentral